UCACACUGUGUGCAAGUCGCCCUCACCGUCGCUUUGAUUCAAAAAUGGUAUUACGGUAAGGCAUGGAAGCGACAUCGACAGUUUAAAAUAAAAGUUGAUAAGAUAUUUUUUUUUUUGUAUUUUGAAUUCUAAUUUCGACUCUUUCGGAAAAAUAAUCGGCCCUAUUACGGUUAUCGUCAGCGUCGCAAAAUUAAGUCGAGGCGACAAUAAUGAUAUUAGGGUUGUCGUUUUUUGUCGAUAGCGACAAAUGGUUGCCAUUAUCAUUGUCGAUACAAUAGUCGACGUGAAGUCGAUUUUUGAAAAUAUCUGUCGCCGUAAAAAAUUGUGACGACAUAGUCGGCCCUAUUACGGUUAUCGUCGGCGUCGCAAAAUGAAGUCGAGGCGACAAUAGUGAUAUUAGGGUUGUCGUUUUUUGUCGAUAGCGACAAAUGGUUGCCAUUAUCAUUGUCGAUACAACAGUCGACGUGAAGUCGAUUUUUUAGUACUUUUUAGUCGACGUUGAUAUUGUAAGCAUUUUGUAUUUUAUAUUUGUUUGACCACGAAAAUAACAACAGCAAAGCAAUUUGAAAUUUUGGUUUCCAUGUUUGGCAAAAGGAUUUACCAAAGGUCAUGUUCCAGCAAAUUUUCAUUCAGAUUGGGAAUCCAUUGCUACAAAAUUAAAUGUAAACGGGACUCCGAUUAGAGACCCCGAUGGCUGGCAAAAAGUUUGGAAAGAUUUAAAAUUUAAAACUAAAAAAAACUUGUGCACAACAAGGGUGAAACCAGCAGCAAUGGAUGUGGCAUUUUUAAGCAAAUGACUUUGGAGGAGUCUGUCGCGAAUAUAAUGCAGUUUCAAAAGUUAUUGAAUCCACCAGGUCGUGCACUUGGAAUAGAAAAUAAGGAAAACAUAAGUGUAAUAGACGUUAUAGUUCAUGAAAAUGAGCAAGUGGACAAUGCUGAUGACGAGACUGAUGUAACCUACUAUUGAAGCUUCUCGAUCAAAAAACAAUGGUAAAAAGUCUACAAGGAAAGUAUAAACUAUUGAACACUUUUGUAACAACACAAUCAAGGGCCAGGCAAUGCAAAUAUGUUUGUUGGCUGCCUUAACACUCGCCGCUGCACUACUAAUACAAUCUUCUCUUCAUCCUCACUUGAACUUAAGAUAUGUAACGUAUUUAUAAUCUUCAUUUUUUCACUAUAUUUUUUAUUUUUCCGAAAGAGCGAAUUUAGAAUUCAAAAUACCAAAAAAAUAUCUUUUUUGUCAAUAACAGGGGAGUGUUGCCAACGUUUUUUAUUUGUUGCCAACUUUUAUUUUAAACUGUCGAUGUCGCUUCUAUGCCUUGCCAUAAUACCAUUUUUGAAUCGAAGCGACGGCGAGGGCGACUCUCACAUAAAGUCGACGACGACCAUAGUAACGACAACCGUAAUUGGGCCGAGUAUUUUUUAGUCGACGUUGAUAUUGUAAGCAUUUUGUAUUUGAUAUUUGACCAUGAAAAUAACAACAGCAAAACAAUUUGAAAUUUUGGUUUCCGAAUUGGAAAAAAUCAAUGUUUGGUAAAAGGGUUUACCAAAGGUCAUGUUCCAGCUAAUUUGAAAUCUGAUUGGGAAUCUAUUGCUACAAAAUUAAAUGUAAACGGGCCUCCGAUUAGAGACUCCGAUGGCUGGCAAAAAGUUUGGAAAAUUUUAAAACUAAAAAGAAACUUGUGCACAACAAAGAUGAAACCAGCAGCACUGGAGGUGGCAUUUUUAAGCAAAUGACUUUGUCGCCAUUGGAUGAGUCUGUCGCUAAUAUAAUGCAGUUUCAAAAGUUACUGAACAGACCAGGUGGUGCACUUGGAAUAGAAAAUAAGGAAAACAUAAAGUUAAUAGACGUUAUAGUUCAUGAAAAUGAGUAAGUGGACAAUGCUGAAGACGAGACUGAUGUAACCUACUAUUGAAACUUCUCGAUCGCCCAGAAAAAACAAUGGUAAAAAGUCAUCAAAGAAAGUACAAACUAUUGAACUCUUGGAAGAGCGUUAUAAACUUUUGGAACAACACAAUCAAGAGCCAGGCAAUGCAAAUAUGUUUGUUGGUUGCCUUAACACUCGCCGCUGCACUACUAAUACAUUCUUCUUUUCAUCCUCACUUGAACUUAAGAUAUGUAACGCAUUUAUAAUCUUCAUUUUUUUCACUAUAUUUUUUAUUUUUCCGAAAGAGUCGAAAUUAGAAUUUAAAAUACAAAACAAAAUUAUUCCUUUUUUUGUCAAUAACAAGGGAGUGUUGCCAACGUUUUUUAAUUGUUGCCAACUUUUAUUUUAAACUGUCGAUGUCGCUUCUAUGCCUUACCAUAAUACCAUUUUUGAAUCGAAGCGACGGCGAGGGCGACUCGCACAUAAAGUCGACGACGACUAUAGUAACGACAACCGUAAUUGGGCCGAAUAGCAAUUAUUUGUCGCUAUCGACAAAAAACGUCAACCCUAAUAUCAUUAUUGUGACAAGACUUAUUUUUGUAUUGUAAAUCUGUUUGAAUAAAUCCGGAUUAAGCAACAAAUCCC
Molecule: long non-coding RNA, 2513 nt
Organism: Musca domestica (house fly)
Lineage: Eukaryota; Metazoa; Arthropoda; Insecta; Diptera; Muscidae
Exons: 3
Source: RefSeq, a predicted model, not a curated record